UUGGAGGGCAAGUCUGGUGCCAGCAGCCGCGGUAAUUCCAGCUCCAAUAGCGUAUAUUAAAGUUGUUGCAGUUAAAAAGCUCGUAGUUGAAUUUCGGGGUCAGUAGAUUGGUCAUGCCACUGAUAUGUACUGGUCUCACUGAUUCCUCCUUCCUGAUGAGCCGUAAUGCCAUUAAUUUGGUGUUGCGAGGAAUCUGGACUGUUACUUUGAAAAAAUUAGAGUGUUUAAAGCAGGCUAACGCUUGAAUACAUUAGCAUGGAAUAAUGAAAUAGGACGUUCGAUCUUAUUUUGUUGGUUUCUAAGAUUGGCGUAAUGAUUAAUAGGGAUAGUUGGGGGCAUUAGUAUUCAAUUGUCAGAGGUGAAAUUCUUGGAUUUAUUGAAGACUAACUACUGCGAAAGCAUUUGCCAAGGAUGUUUUCAUUAAUCAAGAACGAAAGUUAGGGGAUCGAAGUCGAUCAGAUACCGUCGUAGUCUUAACCAUAAACUAUGCCGACUAGGGAUCGGAUGAUGUUAAUUUUUUAAUGACUCAUUCGGCGCCUUACGGGAAAC
Molecule: ribosomal RNA, 549 nt
Filed under: uncultured Glomerales
Lineage: Eukaryota; Fungi; Glomeromycota; Glomeromycetes; Glomerales; Glomeraceae
Description: SSU rRNA
Rfam family: Eukaryotic small subunit ribosomal RNA
Source: RNAcentral